AUGAACGCUGGCGGCGUGCCUCAUACAUGCAAGUCGAGCGAACGGACGAGAAGCUUGCUUCUCUGAUGUUAGCGGCGGACGGGUGAGUAACACGUGGAUAACCUACCUAUAAGACUGGGAUAACUUCGGGAAACCGGAGCUAAUACCGGAUGAUAUUUUGAACCGCAUGGUUCAAAAGUGAAAGACGGUCUUGCUGUCACUUAUAGAUGGAUCCGCGCUGCAUUAGCUAGUUGGUAAGGUAACGGCCUACCAAGGCAACGAUGCAUAGCCGACCUGAGAGGGUGAUCGGCCACACUGGAACUGAGACACGGUCCAGACUCCUACGGGAGGCAGCAGUAGGGAAUCUUCCGCAAUGGGCGAAAGCCUGACGGAGCAACGCCGCGUGAGUGAUGAAGGUCUUCGGAUCGUAAAACUCUGUUAUUAGGGAAGAACAUAUGUGUAAGUAACUGUGCACAUCUUGACGGUACCUAAUCAGAAAGCCACGGCUAACUACGUG
This 496-nucleotide ribosomal RNA is filed under the name uncultured bacterium. RNAcentral describes it as "partial 16S ribosomal RNA". It matches the Rfam family "Bacterial small subunit ribosomal RNA", at positions 29 to 507 of the family's 1533-position model. The record is from RNAcentral.